RNAcentral lists this ribosomal RNA (271 nucleotides) under uncultured Staphylococcus sp. RNAcentral describes it as "partial 16S ribosomal RNA". It matches the Rfam family "Bacterial small subunit ribosomal RNA", at positions 90 to 355 of the family's 1533-position model. Lineage: Bacteria; Bacillati; Bacillota; Bacilli; Caryophanales; Staphylococcaceae. The record is from RNAcentral.
CGUUAGCGGCGGACGGGUGAGUAACACGUGGGUGACCUACCUAUAAGACUGGGAUAACUCCGGGAAACCGGGGCUAAUACCGGAUAACACAUGAAACCGCAUGGUUUCAUGAUGAAAGACGGUUUUGCUGUCACUUAUAGAUGGACCCGCGGCGUAUUAGCUAGUUGGUAAGGUAACGGCUUACCAAGGCAACGAUACGUAGCCGACCUGAGAGGGUGAUGGCCACACUGGAACUGAGACACGGUCCAGACUCCUACGGGAGGCAGCAGCA